GUGCCAGCAGCCGCGGUAAUACCGGCAGCCCGAGUGAUGGCCGAUCUUAUUGGGCCUAAAGCGUCCGUAGCUGGCCGCGCAAGUUCGUCGGGAAAUCCACUCGCUUAACGAGUGGGCGUCCGGCGAAAACUGUGCGGCUUGGGACCGGAAGAUCCAAGGGGUACGUCCAGGGUAGGAGUGAAAUCCUGUAAUCCUGGACGGACCGCCGGUGGCGAAAGCGCCUCGAGAGGACGGACCCGACGGUGAGGAACGAAAGCCAGGGUCUCGAACCGGAUUAGAAACCCUGGUAGUCC
RNAcentral lists this ribosomal RNA (293 nucleotides) under uncultured bacterium. RNAcentral's name for it is "partial 16S ribosomal RNA". It matches the Rfam family "Archaeal small subunit ribosomal RNA", at positions 455 to 747 of the family's 1478-position model. The record is from RNAcentral.